RNAcentral lists this transfer RNA (85 nucleotides) under Dreissena polymorpha. RNAcentral's name for it is "tRNA-Phe". It matches the Rfam family "tRNA". From Rfam's summary of the family: Transfer RNA (tRNA) molecules are approximately 80 nucleotides in length. Their secondary structure includes four short double-helical elements and three loops (D, anti-codon, and T loops). The record is from RNAcentral. Lineage: Eukaryota; Metazoa; Mollusca; Bivalvia; Myida; Dreissenidae.
GCCGGAAUAGCUGGGAGAGCGUUAGACUGAAGUUGUUUACGCAAUAAUCAUCUAAAGGCCCCCGGUUCAAUCCCGGGUUCCGGCA